ACGCUCGACACCUACGGGGGCAGCAGUCGGGAAUAUUGCGCAAUGGAGGAAACUCUGACGCAGUGACGCCGCGUGCAGGAAGAAGGUUUUCGGAUUGUAAACUGCUUUAGACAGGGAAGAAAGAAAUGACAGUACCUGUAGAAUAAGCUCCGGCUAACUACGUGCCAGCAGCCGCGGUAAUCUGAGCGGGCUGGCAAGGC
Molecule: ribosomal RNA, 200 nt
Filed under: uncultured bacterium
Lineage: Bacteria
Description: partial 16S ribosomal RNA
Rfam family: Bacterial small subunit ribosomal RNA
Source: RNAcentral